UUUUUUAUUUAAGAAAAUCUGAGCAUCACUCAAAAUAACUACAUGUUUGUCAACCUUAACGUGUUUUGUAAACGUUAUACAUUUUAUAAAAAUAUUUUAUAUUUUUAUUAUUGAUAAAGUAUAAAGAACAAAUCAGUGUGAAAACGCAGAUUAUAAAAAUACAUAAAGUGCCAGCAGAGGAUCCAAAAUAAUGAAAAAAAAAAAAACAUUUGAAACAUCCAAUGCAUCUUGGAAUUUGUAGUUAAUUUAUAUCUACAUCACGUAAGAACGCCAGGGCAAAAGACUCCAAUUCCCAGAAUGCACCUGCACCCACCCAUUCAUUCCCACCAAUCAUGAUCAACGGCAUUAUUCAAACCGUUACUGACUCGGUCUUCGUUUUCAUGCUAAACAGUACGGCUGAGAGGUCAUGUACCAUGUGGUCGACCUUGCUGACGCCGAAGAGGUUUCUGUGUAAAAAUGAUGUAAGUUCAGUUUAAUCAAUUAAUUUAAUCUUGUUUUAAUUCAUGCCCAUGUCAUGCUAGCUACCAGUCAAAUAUCGCAUACAAUUAAAAAUACUAUUAAUCACCUAUAAAACCUUAAAUGGCUCAGCACCUUCGUAUCUUAGAGAAUUAAUAUCAGAAUACAAUCCAACACGUACACUGCGGUCGCAAAAUUCUGGUUUCUUAAUUAUCCCUAGAAUAUCAAAAGUGUCUAAGCUCUGAAAUGAUUUGCCAACUGAUAUCUGUGAAUCAGACACAGUCAAUCACUUUAAAUCUAAAGGGACACUUCACCCACUUGUAUUAAGCUUUGUAUCUUUAGAACCCCAGUCAUGUUUUUGAAUGGUCAUGCAUCAUUUCCUGAGACAGGAGAAAUACAGAUUUAAGUGUUGCACUUCCUUCUUUCAAUGAUGUAAAUAUCAUAAUUUUGCAUCAUUGAAAGAAGGACGUCCAAUAUCUUUGUUGAGGGGGUGAGACUACAAACACCCCUUUUUCAGUCAAAUAGGCACCAAAUUCGAAAUGUAUGUUACUUUUCCACUACAAAUAUGAGACACUUUCAAUAAAGAUUAAUGUUUCUACAGGUGAAAUGGUCCAUUAAAGGAUAAUUCUGGUAUUUAACACUUUGGGUCUCAUUAUUGGUUUGUUUUGGAUGAACUACAGUGAUGGACACUGUAAUUUUGACAAUGGGUCGUGUCUUGAAUUUUUUGACUCAUUUAGAAGCGUCUCUUGACUGCUUCAGAAUGGAAGUCAAGGGCCAUACACAAAAAUGUCAUUAAAACAACACUUAACGUUCAUUUUCAAAACCGAGUGGUUUGUGGUGUUCGUUGAUGAUUAAAAACAAGUAGUGUAGCGAAAUACAUUUUCUGUCGUGUUAUUUGGCAUUUUGUAAAAUUCCAUUGACUUCUCUUGGAAGACUCAUUGCUCGCUGAUAUCACUCUGCCGCCGGAAAUGGAAAAGGGGUCUGUUUAAAUGUGGUUGUAGUUUUUUCGCUCGGUUUCUCUCAGAAGGCUAGCAUGAGCAGAGCAACUGUGCCCUCGGAGUAGGGCACAAAUUUUUCCCAUAUUUGAUGGCUCAGUGACCAGCCUUAGGUUUAAAGUUGAACUCGAUUGUGACUGUCUAUACGCUAGACACCAAGUUCCGUUCAGCGUCCUUGUACGGCAAAGUGGUUGUCGCCAUCAAGUGGUCAAGAGUGUGCUAACGCUUCAGACUCAAAUAUAGAGCGGAAGUAUAUACGUGGCUGUGAGGUGUCUGAAAAAAUAGAUACACUAUAGCAAAUAACACGGAUUAAAAUCAUACAUUGCUCUGAUAUAUUUGUUUUUAAAGGAAUAGUCUACUCAUUUUUCAAUAUUAAAAUAUGUUAUUACCUUAACUAAGAAUUGUUGAUACAUCACUCUAUCAUGCUGCGACGCCUCGAUAGCAUUUAGCUUAGCCCCAUUCAUUCAAUGGUACCAUUUAGAGAUAAAGUUAGAAGUGACCAAACACAUCAACGUUUUUCCUAUUUAAGACGAGUAGUUAUACAAGCAAGUUGGUGGUACAAAAUAAAACGUAGCGCUUUUCUAAGCGGAUUUAAAAGAGGAACUAUAUUUUAUGGCGUAAUAGCACUUUUGGGAGUACUUCGACUCGGCGCAGUAACACCCUCCCUCUCCCAUUAUGAGAGUGAGAAGGGGAGCGGACUUUUCAGGCGAGUCGAAGUACUCCCAGAUGAUAGAGGGAUGUAUCAACAAUUCUUAGUUAAGGUAAUAACAUAUUUUAAUAUUGAAAAUGAGUAGACUAUUCCUUUAAUCAUCAACGAACACCACGAACCACUCUGUGAGUAGCAGAGUUUUGAAAAUGAAGGUUAAGUGUUGUUUUAAUGACAUGUUUGUGCAUGGCCCUUGACUUGCAUUCUGAAGCAGUCAAGAGACGCUUUUAAACAAGUCAAAAAGUCAAGACACAACCCAUUGUCAAAAUUUCAGUGACCAUCACUGUAGUUCAUCCAAAACAAACCAGAAAUGAGACUCAAAGUGUUUAAUACCGGAAUUAUUCUUUAAGACUUUUUUCUUUAACAAAGCAUUCACAUAAUUUGUCUAGUAAAUUAUACUCAUCUCGCAAAAGUUAGCUUGUACGGAACAAAGCAUUCACAUAACUCGUCUGGGUAAUUUACUAAUGCCGCAAUAGCUAGCCUGUCUGGAACCGAGCAUAUAUUAAAACACAACACUGUCUGACACUUGAAUUGCAUGUGAAUGGCCCCUACACUAAUAGGAUUUUGUUUCUCUCUCCCUGUCUCGUCCUCAAACCGAGGACAUUGAGACAAACAGACCAGUUCCGGCUGCCGUGGAGGUCAACACACCACUGAUCUACUAGCUGCCCUUCAACGUGAUGCCCAGCCGUUGCCUGACCACAGACGAUGCAGUGAGGGAGUGAUUCCCCAACAUCGAGGUGGCAGAGAUCCGGGACCUUCUACGGAGGAAGUGCAACAAUGCCAGUUACAAGGCCUCCAGUAGUUCAAAUCAGAGCUAGAUGUCCAUAUAGUACAAGUUGUUCGCAAUUGUUCUCUUCCCGGCAUUUCAAAGAAAGUCGACUGUUUAAGGUUCCCCAUUUUGCCAAUAUCUGUUUUGUGUGUUACUUUUGUGUCAAUAAUAAAGAUCCUUUUUUGAAA
Molecule: non-coding RNA, 3114 nt
Organism: Misgurnus anguillicaudatus (oriental weatherfish)
Lineage: Eukaryota; Metazoa; Chordata; Actinopteri; Cypriniformes; Cobitidae
Source: RefSeq, a predicted model, not a curated record